UCAAGUUACUAAGAGUGUAUGGGGGAUGUCUAGGUGUCGAGAGGCGACGAAGGACGUGAUAGGCUGCGAUAAGCCCGGGGCAGGUGCCUAAUAACCGUUAAUCCCGGGAUGUCCGAAUGGGGCAACCCAGCAGUGCAGGGCAACCUGACACUGUUAUCCAUGGCUGAAUUCAUAGGCCAUGAGAAGCUAACGCAGGGAACUGAAACAUCUAAGUACCUGCAGGAAAGGAAAUCAACCGAGACUCCGUAAGUAGCGGCGAGCGAAAGCGGAUAUAGCCCAAACCAACCUUCGGGUUGGGGUUGCGGGCGUUGAUAAGGAGUUACAAAGGCAUUGCCAGCCGAAUGUUCUGGAAAGAACAACCAUAGAAGGUGAUAGUCCUGUAUGCGACGGCAAGAGCCCUCCGUUAUUAUCGACGUACCAGAGUAGCACGGAGCUCGUGGAACUCCGUGUGAAGCAGGGGGGCCCACCCUCCAAGGCUAAGUACUACUCGACGACCGAUAGUGAAAAGUAGGGCGACCGAAAGAUGAAAAGUACCCCUAUUAGGGGAGUUAAAAGUACCUGAAACCAUACACUUACAAGCUGUAGGAGCCCUAUGGGUGAUCUUAGGAUCGCCAACGGGUGACUGCGUGCCUUUCGCAUAAUGAGCCGGCGAGUUACCGUUUGUGGCAAGGUUAAGCAUUUAAGGUGCGAAGCCGUAGCGAAAGCGAGUCUGAAUAGGGCGAUUUAGUCGCAGGUGGUAGACGCGAAACCAGGUGAUCUACCCAUGGCCAGGUGGAAGGGGAUGUAAAAAUCCCUGGACGACCGAACCCACUAACGUUGAAAAGUUAGGGGAUGAGCUGUGGGGAGGAGUAAAAGUCUAAUCAAACCUGGAGAUAUCUCGUUCUCUCCGAAAUAGCUUUAGGGCUAGCCUCGAGACAACUACCUUGCAGGGGUAGAGCUACUGAUUGGGGAUGGGGGGCCACCAGCCUACCCACUCCUACCAAACUCCGAAUACUGUAAGGACUAUCUCGGGAGUCAGUCCGCGGGCGAUAACGUUCGCGGUCAAGAGGGAAACAGCCCAGACCGCCAGCUAAGGUCCCUAAUUCAUGCUAAGUUACUAAGGAAGUCCGAUUGCUGUGACAAUCAGGAUGUUGGCUUAGAAGCAGCCACCAUUUAAAAAGUGCGUAAUAGCUUACUGAUCGAGCAGUUGGGUGCCGAUAAUGAACGGGAAUAAGCAUGAUACCGAAGCUGCGGAUGUAUCUGGUGUCAGACCGAGAGUCUUGAACCGAUUUUCCGUAAGGAAUUGUUAGAGAUAUGUAUUUUGAAGUAUGUGAUUAAGACGAUUUGUAUUUUGAAUCUUUUAGUUAUGUUGUUUUUUUGAGAUAUGUAUUUAGUAUUAUUAUGGAUAGUUCAGGAUUUUAGGUCUGAUACCAGGUACGUGGUAGGAGAGCGUAACUGUCAGCACUGAAGCGGUACGGAAACGAGCCGUGGAGCGGCAGUUAGUGAUUAUGCCGGCAUGAGUAACGAUAAAACAGGUGAGAAUCCUGUUCGCCGAAAACCUAAGGUUUCCUGGGGAAGGUAAAUCCGCCCAGGGUUAGUCGGCCCCUUAGUCGAGGCUGAAAGGCGUAGACGAUGGACAGCAGGUUAAUAUUCCUGCACCAUGUAUGGAAGGUUUGAACUGUGGGAGUGACGUAAUGAUGAAGUUGGGAAGCUGAUUAGUCGUGGCUAUUGUGCCUGCGGCGCCGUUGAUAGGCAAAUCCGUCAACAUAAAGGCGCCAAUGGACCGCGAAGGACGCUUUUGAUUCCUGAGCCAGUGGAUUCGUUACCAAGAAAAACUUCAAACAGGACGACCAUGCGUGACCGUACUAAAACUGACACAGGUAGGUGAGGAGAAUAUCCUCAGGCGCUCGAGAAAACCGUCCUUAAGGAACUCGGCAAAUUGACCCCGUAAGUUCGCGAUAAGGGGACCCUCCAGGCAUAUUUAUUUAUAGAUGUGUGCUGAGGGCACAGAAAAGUGGCUCUGGCGACUGUUUACCAAAAACACAGUUCUCUGCUAACACUUAAAGUGGAUGUAUAGAGAAUGACGCCUGCUCGGUGCCGGAAGGUUAAGGGGAUGGGUUAUUGUCUCUUCGGAGACGAGAAGCUCCUAACUGAAGCCCCGGUAAACGGCGGCCGUAACUAUGACGGUCCUAAGGUAGCGAAGUUCCUUGUCGGGUAAGUUCCGACGUGCAUGAACGGCGUAACGACUGGAGCACUGUCUCGAGGACGGACUCGGUGAAAUUGUAGAUGUGGUGAAGAUACCACAUACCCGCGGCAAGACGGAAAGACCCCGUGAACCUUUACUGUAGCCUGGUAUUGAUGCCUGGCAUACAUUGCGUAGGAUAGGUGGGAGGCUGUGAUCUGGC
This 2384-nucleotide ribosomal RNA is filed under the name marine sediment metagenome. Its description in RNAcentral is "bacterial LSU rRNA". It matches the Rfam family "Bacterial large subunit ribosomal RNA", at positions 3 to 2166 of the family's 2925-position model. The record is from RNAcentral.